ACUCCUACGGGAGGCAGCAGUGGGGAAUCUUGGACAAUGGGGCAACCCGUGAUCCAGCCAUGCCGCGUGAGUGAAGAAGGCCUUAGGGUCGUAAAGCUCUUUCGCCUGUGAAGAUAAUGACGGUAGCAGGUAAAGAAACCCCGCGUACAUCCGUGCCAGCAGCCGCGGUAAUACGGAGGGGGUUAGCGUUGUUCGGAAUUACUGGGCGUAAAGCGCGCGUAGGCGGAUUGGAAAGUUGGGGGUG
RNAcentral lists this ribosomal RNA (244 nucleotides) under uncultured bacterium. RNAcentral's name for it is "partial 16S ribosomal RNA". It matches the Rfam family "Bacterial small subunit ribosomal RNA", at positions 335 to 596 of the family's 1533-position model. The record is from RNAcentral.